This 719-nucleotide long non-coding RNA is filed under the name Triticum aestivum (bread wheat). RNAcentral's name for it is "long non-coding RNA (TAES_LNC002081)". The record is from RNAcentral. Lineage: Eukaryota; Viridiplantae; Streptophyta; Magnoliopsida; Poales; Poaceae.
AUUGUGUUAUUCAAGAUACAAUGGCACUCGAUGAUGCUUGCUAAGAAGGUUUGCAGUAUCCACUGGACUGUUGCUUGCCAGAUGACUGGAAGAUGGGUACUUCAUCCUCUCUUGUUUGUUCAUUUGAAGCGAGAUAAAUAAGAUUCAUGCAUUGUAAUGAAAACUAAAGAUUUAGCUAAACUCAACUGAUGGUGUAAUAUCUCUUCCUAUGAGCUGCAGUAAUGGUAUCUUCUGUAGGAGUAAUAAGGCAUUGCUGCAUAAACAUACUUGACUUUCAAAUGAGCGUGUCAAGAGGUUUAAUUAGUGUCGAUCCCUACUCUAAUUAUAUCUGGAUAUAUGGUUCCUGUACUAUUUGAAACUUAUCAAUCAGAUGUACAGAAUAACAGAAAUUUGCUAGAUAAGCUAACGUUACAAGGGGAAGUAAAAAUUAAACAUUUCAUAUAGUGAUUUGUAAUAUCUGAUAUGUCAUCAUCGUGUGUUUCCUAUUGUAGAUAAAAUUUGGACCAUGGCUCGGUAUGAUCAAUUGGAGAAGACAUUACUAUGACUACAAAGAUCUGUUUUUUCAGGUGAUGAAUUGUAACCUUAUAUUCUUUAUUACUUGGAAUUGAAAAUCACUGGAAGCAAUCUGUAAUUACUUCGGAGAGAAUAUUUUACUCUUUUCUAUCUUGCUCUUGUUCAGCAUAGGAUGUACUCCGUAUAUCAUUAUCACUAUCAUGGUG